This 439-nucleotide ribosomal RNA is filed under the name uncultured bacterium. RNAcentral's name for it is "partial 16S ribosomal RNA". It matches the Rfam family "Bacterial small subunit ribosomal RNA", at positions 339 to 795 of the family's 1533-position model. The record is from RNAcentral.
CUACGGGCCGCUGCAGUGGGGAAUAUUGCACAAUGGGGGAAACCCUGAUGCAGCAACGCCGCGUGGAGGAUGACACAUUUCGGUGCGUAAACUCCUUUUAUAUAGGAAGAUAAUGACGGUACUAUAUGAAUAAGCGCCGGCUAACUCCGUGCCAGCAGCCGCGGUAAUACGGAGGGCGCAAGCGUUACUCGGAAUCACUGGGCGUAAAGAGCGUGUAGGCGGGUAGUUAAGUCAGAAGUGAAAUCCUAUGGCUCAACCAUAGAACUGCUUUUGAAACUGAUUACCUAGAAUAUGGGAGAGGUAGAUGGAAUUUCUGGUGUAGGGGUAAAAUCCGUAGAGAUCAGAAGGAAUACCGAUUGCGAAGGCGAUCUACUGGAACAUUAUUGACGCUGAGACGCGAAAGCGUGGGGAGCAAACAGGAUUAGAUACCCCCGUAGUC